RNAcentral lists this ribosomal RNA (425 nucleotides) under Micrococcus sp. oral taxon F54. Its description in RNAcentral is "bacterial SSU rRNA". It matches the Rfam family "Bacterial small subunit ribosomal RNA", at positions 28 to 450 of the family's 1533-position model. The record is from RNAcentral. Lineage: Bacteria; Bacillati; Actinomycetota; Actinomycetes; Micrococcales; Micrococcaceae.
GAUGAACGCUGGCGGCGUGCUUAACACAUGCAAGUCGAACGAUGAAGCCCAGCUUGCUGGGUGGAUUAGUGGCGAACGGGUGAGUAACACGUGAGUAACCUGCCCUUGACUCUGGGAUAAGCCCGGGAAACUGGGUCUAAUACCGGAUAGGAGCGCCUGUCGCAUGACGGGUGCUGGAAAGAUUUUUCGGUCAUGGAUGGACUCGCGGCCUAUCAGCUUGUUGGUGAGGUAAUGGCUCACCAAGGCGACGACGGGUAGCCGGCCUGAGAGGGUGACCGGCCACACUGGGACUGAGACACGGCCCAGACUCCUACGGGAGGCAGCAGUGGGGAAUAUUGCACAAUGGGCGGAAGCCUGAUGCAGCGACGCCGCGUGAGGGAUGACGGCCUUUCGGGUUGUAAACCUCUUUCAAGUAAGGGAAGAAA